RNAcentral lists this long non-coding RNA (959 nucleotides) under Homo sapiens (human). RNAcentral describes it as "novel transcript". The record is from RNAcentral. Lineage: Eukaryota; Metazoa; Chordata; Mammalia; Primates; Hominidae.
GCUUUCUGCCAUCUUCCCCUUUCACCUCCUUUCCCCCCUUUCUGCUCCUCCCUCUCUCUCUCAUUCCCUAGUCUUUUGCACCCUUUCUCUCUGCCUGCUAGUGGAGUCACCAUGACAACGGCCUCCAUGACAAUUACAGCCCAGGCAGCAGUGCCUCUUCCCAUGAGGCACUCCAAUACUCACUUGGAAUUUGCUCCCUGAUUUCAUGGCCCAGGCAGUGAAUUUGCCUCACUCCCCAAGUUUCCACAAGGCCACAGGGAAUAGACUUGGUAGCCAACCACAGCCCCGAAGAUGGGAGAAAGCAAAGAAGGAAGAAUGAAGCAUGGGAGAGAAUGAAAGAGGAGAGGGGGAACUGAAGCUCUCAUCUUCCUCUUCUCUGAUGGAACACAAAGGACUCCAGCAAGCUAUACAGGAAGCAUGGAAGCAUAGCAGCUGCUUCUUCUGGGAAGGCCUCAGGAAGCUUUCAAUCACGACAGAAGGCAAAGGUGGAGCCAACACUUCACAUGUCCAGAGCAGGAGGAAGACAGAGAGCCGGGAGGUGCCAUUUUAAACAACCAGAUCUCAGAAGAACUUACUGUCACCACAAAAUCACCAAGGGGGAUGGUGUUAAACCAUGAGAAAACCACCUACACGGCCCAAUCACCUCCAACCAGCACUGGGGAUGACAAUUUAACAGGAGAUUUGGGCAGGGACACAGACCCAAACCAUAUCAGUGUAUGUACAUUUUCGUUUAUUUACUUAAAAAAAAACCUAUUAGAAUCAUUCACUGUCACUGUACCUGGGAGAAAUACCAAAACAACUUUACUAAAACUUACUAAGAUACUAUUAUUGUGCCCAUUAAUUGUUUUCCAGGGAGAUGCACAUUUUUUAGCACAAAAUGCCCAGAUAGAAUUGGUAAAACUGAAAAUAUUAAUUUUAAUACGUCUUUAACAAUGUAAUGUUUUACCAAAAACUUCUCU